AUUAAUUUCAAUGAUGAUCGAAUUAACAGAAGAGUUCUUGAAGACUAUAAUUCAUCACCCAAGACUGAUAGCAAAC
This 76-nucleotide small nucleolar RNA is filed under the name Bactrocera tryoni. RNAcentral describes it as "small nucleolar RNA CD11". It matches the Rfam family "Small nucleolar RNA CD11". Rfam says of the family: CD11 is a member of the C/D class of snoRNA which contain the C (UGAUGA) and D (CUGA) box motifs. Most of the members of the box C/D family function in directing site-specific 2'-O-methylation of substrate RNAs. Lineage: Eukaryota; Metazoa; Arthropoda; Insecta; Diptera; Tephritidae. The record is from RNAcentral.